AAAGACAAGGCGAACAUAUUUCCAAUCUUCCAAAAUUCAAAUCUUAGUGUAUUUAAGUUAUAUAUAUGCCACAUUUCUUUAAUUUCACACAAUACUGGUAUAUUUAAAUGAUGUUUUUAGGUAAUUUAUUCUGAACUAUGUUUUCAUGUUUAAAACGUGUUACAAAAAAUGUCAUUUUAUACAAAUAAUGUAAAUUUUAAAUACACUUUUUGCAUUAUGAUUCCAUAUUGGUUAUUGGCUAUACAUAUGAUACAACUAAGUUUAUUUAUUAUAUGGGUUUUAUUUGGAUUAAUAUAAUCAUCAGAAAAUCAAACAUUGAGAUAAAUAAACUCAUUGCUAUUGUUUUAAUCGCUUUUACUGCUAUUCUAAGGUUUUUUAUUUACCACAAGAAGAUUUCCUUUCAAGUAAAAGCAAAUCUUUAUCAGCUUAAAUAGGUAAGUCAUAGAAGUGAAUCAUAACAUUAUUUAAUUAUUAUUAUGCAACUUCGAAUUUGGGUUUUCUGUAUUGAGGUGCACACUAUUGUACUUGUAUUAAACAUCAUUCUAAUUUCAGUGCUAACUUCUACAGUACCCAAUAAUUUAAGAAAAAGAAAACUUCAUCUUAUCUCUUUGCGUAGUAUUUCAAAAUCAUUUUAUUAUUAUUAUUUUUAAAAAUUUCUACGUGGGGAGUUACAAAUAAAGACCAGUUAAAAUUUUGAAUGAGUCGUUACAAAUUCGUAAUGAAACUACAUUUAAUGUGCAAAAACUAAAGAAAAAAUAAAUUUGAAAAACAGAAGAAAUAUUAUCAAUUAAAUUUACAACACAAUAAUCAAGUUCAUUGUUAGACAAACGCUUUGUAACUUUUUAUGUUUUUUUAACUGUGGAUUGUAAAGUCUUUGGUUAGAAAAGCCCAUAAAUAUAAAUCAUUCUUCAUAAUGUGGCAACUAGAAUUUGGAAGAAAUUUUUAUGGAGAAAAAUACUUAAAAGCAAAAAACUAUAGACUCAAUUUAAAAGAUAAAAACUCUAUUGCUUGGAUUUUUUCAUGUUAAUCAAAUUUGAUAAAAAUUAAUUGGAUAUAAUAUACAAUAAAAAAUCUAAAAUCCUAUUUUAAGUCUGAAAAUAUUUUUUGCAAUCUUAGUAAAAUUUUGAGCUAAGAAUGUAGAAGACAAAAUGAAAGUAACACGAACAAAACAAUUUAGCUCCAAUGAAUAUCAAAUAUGUAUUUAAAAAAUUUGAAAGUAUUUGAUUUUUUUGAAGGUUGCCUAAAGCUUUCAACUUUUCUUUUAAGUUAUAAAGCCCAUGUUGCUUCAAUCCUUUUGGUGGACAUAUAUAUAUAUAUAUAUAUAUAUAUAUAUGCACAAUUAAGACUUUUGAAAGCAAAAUUUACACUGUUGGGUUUUAUUAACAUUCGAACUUUUUUGGAUCUAUUAAUAAUUUUCACUGGAGGUGUUUUUGAUUAACAUGAAUGACUUUGAGUUAAACAUUGAAAUCAAAAUAAUUGCUCCUGAAAAUAAGGUCAUGAUAUCAUUCCAAAAGAUAUAAAUUAUUCCUGUUCAGUUGUGGUGCAAAGAGAAAUUGGCUUUAGUUUUAAAUUAAAAUUAAAAUAUUAAAUAUUAAAUUUUUAUAAAGGAACUUGGAUUAUUUUAUUUUGUUAUUAUUGUUGUUAUUUUUGUUAUUUUUUUAUUAUUAUUCUUUAUAAAAAUAAUAAUGUAUUCAGAAAGUUUAAUGUCAAAUUUAUUGUGGUUUAUUGAUACUUUUUUCUUCUGGUAAUUAUUAAUGUUCUUGAAGAACAGCUUCAUCUAAGAAUAGUAAUAUAACAUUACUUAACUCAUCAUAGUGCUAUACAUUAUAUAUAAAAAACCUAAAAAUGUUACAUUUAAAAUAGGUCAAAUUUUUCUGAAAAACGAAAACAAAACAAAACAAAUUGCAUACUUUGAUACAUGAGACUUAAGUUUUAGAAUUAUAUUCACUAAAAAAAGAUGGAUUAAACAAUUUGAAUGCAAACACUGAUUUUGCAAAUUAUGUUAUAAGUUUUGAAAAACAUGUAUGAUCAAUGGUUGUGCGAACUUGCCAUGAUUUUGUUUCUCUUAAAAUAUUUUUAGCUUAAUAGGAAAAAUGUUAUUGAUCUUAAAUAAAACAUGCAUAACCAAAAACAUGCACAACUUUGUAUUAUUUUAUUCAUUCAUAUAAUACACACAUAAGAACAAAUCCAUACCAACAUAGAACUAUUUUAUGUCUUUUAUUAGUUUAUAUGUUUUUGAAAUUUUGUAUCAAUUUUGGAGAAUCAAUCUAAUUAGAGAAUUGUUUA
This 2286-nucleotide long non-coding RNA is filed under the name Physcomitrium patens. RNAcentral describes it as "long non-coding RNA (PPAT_LNC011872)". The record is from RNAcentral. Lineage: Eukaryota; Viridiplantae; Streptophyta; Bryopsida; Funariales; Funariaceae.